Cimex lectularius (bed bug) is the source of this 661-nucleotide long non-coding RNA. RefSeq lists it as uncharacterized. Lineage: Eukaryota; Metazoa; Arthropoda; Insecta; Hemiptera; Cimicidae. The record is from RefSeq and is a predicted model, not a curated record. The transcript is spliced from 2 exons.
UCCAUGCUUUGCUAAUAAUUAGUAUGGUAUCGAUAUUUUUGUUUAAUCCGGCAGGUACUUCAGUACGUUGUUGUUGUUAUUGUUGUUGUCGGUAUAAGGGGGCAAACCACUUUAAGAAAAUCUAAGUAUCUACAAGUUUAAAAUACUAGAAAACUGGCUGAGAUGGGGCCACGUCCCACCGGUCUGUCGAAGUCAGUACUGGCUUCGCCGUCACGGAGUGAGGCCUCCGGCUCGGGAGUUACGACGCCCAGUACACCCACCGGAGCAUUAUCGACGCCCAACUUGAACCGUCAGAGGCUGCAGUUCAACGAAGUCGUCGACAAGAGUAAGAGUCUGUUGGUGAAGGAGGGCCACCAGAAAAGGCUCAAGAUGCUGAGAAAAGAGCUGGAUUACCUGAACGAGACAGCUUGGCAGUACCAGCCAAUCGAGACUUACAUCGGCCACUGAUUCUCAUUUCAUAUUUUUUCUACCUAUUAUUGUAAUUUUUCUUGAAGUCAAAAAUUAAACUUUUUUUUUUCAAAAUGUAUAUCUUUAAAUUUCGUUUAAAUUUUCAAAAAAUUAUUACCUAGCAUAUUUAUGUAAUGGUUGCCUUUGGCCCUUUGUUAUGGCAAGACCAUGAAUUUAUUAUAUUUGUCUUUUUUAAGUAAAUGGUUCUCAAAAU